GGGGUAGUAGUUCAGUUGGUUAGAACGCCGGCCUGUCAAGCCGGAGGUCGCGGGUUCGAGUCCCGUCUAUCCCGCAA
This 77-nucleotide transfer RNA is filed under the name bacterium. RNAcentral describes it as "tRNA-Asp". It matches the Rfam family "tRNA". Rfam says of the family: Transfer RNA (tRNA) molecules are approximately 80 nucleotides in length. Their secondary structure includes four short double-helical elements and three loops (D, anti-codon, and T loops). The record is from RNAcentral. RNAcentral also lists the same sequence under 3 other names.